RNAcentral lists this ribosomal RNA (497 nucleotides) under uncultured bacterium. Its description in RNAcentral is "partial 16S ribosomal RNA". It matches the Rfam family "Bacterial small subunit ribosomal RNA", at positions 28 to 507 of the family's 1533-position model. The record is from RNAcentral.
GAUGAACGCUGGCGGCGUGCCUAAUACAUGCAAGUCGAGCGAACAGACGAGGAGCUUGCUCCUCUGACGUUAGCGGCGGACGGGUGAGUAACACGUGGAUAACCUACCUAUAAGACUGGGAUAAAUUCGGGAAACCGGAGCUAAUACCGGAUAAUAUAUUGAACCGCAUGGUUCAAUAGUGAAAGACGGUUUUGCUGUCACUUAUAGAUGGAUCCGCGCCGCAUUAGCUAGUUGGUAAGGUAACGGCUUACCAAGGCAACGAUGCGUAGCCGAGCUGAGAGGGUGAUCGGCCACACUGGAACUGAGACGCGGUCCAGACUCCUACGGGAGGCAGCAGUAGGGAAUCUUCCGCAAUGGGCGAAAGCCUGACGGAGCAACGCCGCGUGAGUGAUGAAGGUCUUCGGAUCGUAAAACUCUGUUAUUAGGGAAGAACAAAUGUGUAAGUAACUAUGCACGUCUUGACGGUACCUAAUCAGAAAGCCACGGCUAACUACGUG